GUGGAUUAGAUACCCUGGUAGUCCACGCUGUAAACGAUGAGUACUAGGUGUGGGUUGAGUGAAAUCAAUCUGUGCCGAAGCAAACGCGCUAAGUACUCCGCCUGGGGAGUACGGCCGCAAGGCUAAAACUCAAAGGAAUUGACGGGGGCCCGCACAAGCAGCGGAGCGUGUGGUUUAAUUCGAUGCGACACGAAGAACCUUACCUGGGUUUGACAUGGUGGUAGUAGUGAACCGAAAGGGGAACGACUCUUCGGAGAGCCAUCACAGGUGCUGCAUGGUCGUCGUCAGCU
Molecule: ribosomal RNA, 290 nt
Filed under: uncultured bacterium
Lineage: Bacteria
Description: partial 16S ribosomal RNA
Rfam family: Bacterial small subunit ribosomal RNA
Source: RNAcentral